Molecule: non-coding RNA, 30 nt
Filed under: Mus musculus (house mouse)
Lineage: Eukaryota; Metazoa; Chordata; Mammalia; Rodentia; Muridae
Source: RNAcentral
UAAAAUAAAAUAAAACAAGCUGAGUGUGGU